This 469-nucleotide ribosomal RNA is filed under the name uncultured Actinomycetes bacterium. RNAcentral describes it as "bacterial SSU rRNA". It matches the Rfam family "Bacterial small subunit ribosomal RNA", at positions 156 to 638 of the family's 1533-position model. The record is from RNAcentral. Lineage: Bacteria; Bacillati; Actinomycetota; Actinomycetes.
AUUGGGGCUAAUACCGGAUAUGACCGCUGACCGCAUGGUCUGGUGGUGGAAAGUUUUUUUGGCUGGGGAUGGGCCCGCGGCCUAUCAGCUUGUUGGUGGGGUAGUGGCCUACCAAGGCGACGACGGGUAGCCGGCCUGAGAGGGUGACCGGCCACACUGGGACUGAGACACGGCCCAGACUCCUACGGGAGGCAGCAGUGGGGAAUAUUGCGCAAUGGGCGGAAGCCUGACGCAGCGACGCCGCGUGGGGGAUGACGGCCUUCGGGUUGUAAACCUCUUUCAGCAGGGACGAAGCGGAAGUGACGGUACCUGCAGAAGAAGCACCGGCCAACUACGUGCCAGCAGCCGCGGUAAUACGUAGGGUGCAAGCGUUGUCCGGAAUUAUUGGGCGUAAAGAGCUCGUAGGCGGUUCGUCACGUCGGCUGUGAAAACCUGAGGCUCAACCUCAGGCCUGCAGUCGAUACGGGCG